UACGUAGGCAGCGAGCGUUGUUCGGAAUUACUGGGCGUAAAGAGUGUGUAGGCGGUGCUCCCAGUCUGUUGUGAAAUCUCCCGGCUUAACUGGGAGGGUGCAGCGGAAACUAGAGUGCUAGAGGGUGGGAGAGGUAAGCGGAAUUCCUGGUGUAGCGGUGAAAUGCGUAGAUAUCAGGAGGAACACCUGUGGUGUAGACAGCUUACUGGACCACUCUGACGCUGAGACACGAAAGCGUGGGUAGCAAACAGG
This 252-nucleotide ribosomal RNA is filed under the name uncultured bacterium. RNAcentral's name for it is "partial 16S ribosomal RNA". It matches the Rfam family "Bacterial small subunit ribosomal RNA", at positions 524 to 776 of the family's 1533-position model. The record is from RNAcentral.